Clupea harengus (Atlantic herring) is the source of this 367-nucleotide long non-coding RNA. NCBI's taxonomy places the organism in Eukaryota, Metazoa, Chordata, Actinopteri, Clupeiformes, Clupeidae. The record is from Ensembl.
CCAAUAUCCUGUCGUGUCCUUUUUUGGUGCAUCUGUCGCCAAAACAUCUCACUGUUCCAUAAAACCACCGAAAAAAAAACCUCUCUCCAAUCUCAGGCAAAUUUCUGCAUCUAACGUAGUUCACCUCCGCAUGAGUUCAUCAGCCGCUGGUCCAGUGGGCCAUGUGGAGGUGCUAGUGCAUCUACUGAGGCAGUUAUGUGAGAUGGUCAGCCAUGGUGGAGGUGUUAAUACCAUCUUCUGAGGCGGUUAUGUGAGAUGGUCAGCCAUGGUGGAGGUGUUAAUACCAUCUUCUGAGGCAGUUAUGUCAGAUGGUCAGCCAUGGUGGAGGUGUUAAUACCAUCUUCUGAGGCAGCUAUGUCAGAUGGUC